UAGGGAAUCUUCGGCAAUGGACGAAAGUCUGACCGAGCAACGCCGCGUGAGUGAAGAAGGUUUUCGGAUCGUAAAACUCUGUUGGUAGAGAAGAACGUUGGUGAGAGUGGAAAGCUCAUCAAGUGACGGUAACUACCCAGAAAGGGACGGCUAACUACGUGCCAGCAGCCGCGGUAAUACGUAGGUCCCGAGCGUUGUCCGGAUUUAUUGGGCGUAAAGCGAGCGCAGGUGGUUUAUUAAGUCUGGUGUAAAAGGCAGUGGCUCAACCAUUGUAUGCAUUGGAAACUGGUAGACUUGAGUGCAGGAGAGGAGAGUGGAAUUCCAUGUGUAGCGGUGAAAUGCGUAGAUAUAUGGAGGAACACCGGUGGCGAAAGCGGCUCUCUGGCCUGUAACUGACACUGAGGCUCGAAAGCGUGGGGAGCAAACAGGAUUAGAUACCCUGGUAGUCCACGCCGUAAACGAUGAGUGCUAGAUGU
RNAcentral lists this ribosomal RNA (476 nucleotides) under uncultured bacterium. RNAcentral's name for it is "partial 16S ribosomal RNA". It matches the Rfam family "Bacterial small subunit ribosomal RNA", at positions 355 to 823 of the family's 1533-position model. The record is from RNAcentral.